RNAcentral lists this long non-coding RNA (235 nucleotides) under Panax ginseng (ginseng). RNAcentral's name for it is "long non-coding RNA (PGIN_LNC008370)". Lineage: Eukaryota; Viridiplantae; Streptophyta; Magnoliopsida; Apiales; Araliaceae. The record is from RNAcentral.
UCAUCAUUCACUCUAUCUACUAUCGCAAAAGCAACAGGGAAAAUACCAUCAUUUUCAUACAUUGCCAUAACAAUUAGAAGCUCUGAAUUAUAUUUUGAUUUCAAAGUCAUUGUAUCAAGGAAAAGGAGAGGGCGACAACCAUUUCGAAAACCAGUAAAUGAAGCGUAAAACGCAAUAAAAAGGCCAUGAAAGCUCAUAUCCUCUCUCGUUGCAAGUGUGGCUACACUACCAGGAU